This 253-nucleotide ribosomal RNA is filed under the name uncultured bacterium. RNAcentral's name for it is "partial 16S ribosomal RNA". It matches the Rfam family "Bacterial small subunit ribosomal RNA", at positions 524 to 776 of the family's 1533-position model. The record is from RNAcentral.
UACGGAAGGGGCAAGCGUUGUUCGGAAUCAUUGGGCGUAAAGGGCGCGUAGGUGGUUCUGUAUGUCUAUCGUGAAAGCGUACGGCUCAACCGUAUUUGGUCGGUAGAAACUGCAGGACUUGAGGCUGGGAGGGGCUGGUGGAAUUCCCUGUGUAGCGGUGAAAUGCGUAGAUAUCAGGAGGAACACCGGUGGCGAAGGCGGAUCUCUGGGCCGAUACUGACGCUGAGGAGCGAAAGCGUGGGGAGCGAACAGG